UACGUAGGGUGCGAGCGUUGUCCGGAAUUACUGGGCGUAAAGAGCUCGUAGGUGGUUUGUCGCGUUGUUCGUGAAAACCGGGGGCUUAACCCUCGGCGUGCGGGCGAUACGGGCAGGCUAGAGUUCGGUAGGGGAGACUGGAAUUCCUGGUGUAGCGGUGAAAUGCGCAGAUAUCAGGAGGAACACCGGUGGCGAAGGCGGGUCUCUGGGCAGUAACUGACGCUGAGGAGCGAAAGCGUGGGGAGCGAACAGG
RNAcentral lists this ribosomal RNA (253 nucleotides) under uncultured bacterium. RNAcentral's name for it is "partial 16S ribosomal RNA". It matches the Rfam family "Bacterial small subunit ribosomal RNA", at positions 524 to 776 of the family's 1533-position model. The record is from RNAcentral.